RNAcentral lists this long non-coding RNA (465 nucleotides) under Homo sapiens (human). RNAcentral describes it as "non-protein coding lnc-KCNK15-1:1". The record is from RNAcentral. Lineage: Eukaryota; Metazoa; Chordata; Mammalia; Primates; Hominidae.
AGAAAAGCCAAAAACUUUAAUUUCAACAUGAGCUACAUGGUCAUGAACACAAUGCAACGCGACCCCACUCCAACCCAAGGGCCCCAGAAACCCUCCCUCCCUAAAGGCCUGGGCGGCUGCUGCUCCAAGAGAGGGAAUGAGGGAAAGGUGGGUGGAUGGAGAGAGGCCCCCAGCCUAAGGACCCAGGCUCCUGCCUUCCCACCACCCGUCCAGGAAGCAGGACUAGGUAAAGAGUGGCAGGCUUCUGGGUGCCUCCCAGGGGAGGUGGCAGAAAUGUGCUUCUAUAAAGAGGGGCCAGCCUCCAUCCUCCCUUGCAUGCAAAAGGGCUCCCGCAGGCCCCAGGGAGGGCUGGGCUGGGAAGGCAGCUACCCAGGCCUGCUGGAAAAGGAAUCUCCCAGUUCUUACACUCACGCCUCUUCACUUUUCUCUCCUACCGCCAUCUUUCCUUCAGCCAAGGUAAUUGAG